RNAcentral lists this ribosomal RNA (433 nucleotides) under uncultured bacterium. Its description in RNAcentral is "partial 16S ribosomal RNA". It matches the Rfam family "Bacterial small subunit ribosomal RNA", at positions 29 to 507 of the family's 1533-position model. The record is from RNAcentral.
AACGAACGCUGGCGGCAUGCCUAACACAUGCAAGUCGAACGAGACCUUCGGGCCUAGUGGCGCACGGGUGCGUAACGCGUGGGAACCUGCCCUUAGGUUCGGAAUAACUCCCCGAAAGGGGUGCUAAUACCGGAUAAUGUCUCCGGACCAAAGAUUUAUCGCCUUUGGAUGGGCCCGCGUUGGAUUAGCUAGUUGGUAGGGUAAAAGCCUACCAAGGCGACGAUCCAUAGCUGGUCUGGGAGGAUGAUCAGCCACACUGGGAGUGAGACACGGCCCAGACUCCUGCGGGAGGCAGCAGUGGGGAAUAUUGGACGAUGGGCGAAAGCCUGAUGCAGCAAUGCCGCGUGAGUGAUGAAGGCCUUAGGGUUGUAAAGCUCUUUUACCCGGGAUGAUAAUGACAGUACCGGGAGAAUAAGCUCCGGCUAACUCCGUG